Molecule: ribosomal RNA, 497 nt
Filed under: uncultured bacterium
Lineage: Bacteria
Description: partial 16S ribosomal RNA
Rfam family: Bacterial small subunit ribosomal RNA
Source: RNAcentral
GAUGAACGCUGGCGGCGUGCCUAAUACAUGCAAGUCGAGCGAACAGACGAGGAGCUUGCUCCUCUGACGUUAGCGGCGGACGGGUGAGUAACACGUGGAUAACCUACCUAUAAGACUGGGAUAACUUCGGGAAACCGGAGCUAAUACCGGAUAAUAUAUUGAACCGCAUGGUUCAAUAGUGAAAGACGGUUUUGCUGUCACUUAUAGAUGGAUCCGCGCCGCAUUAGCUAGUUGGUAAGGUAACGGCUUACCAAGGCAACGAUGCGUAGCCGACCUGAGAGGGUGAUCGGCCACCCUGGAACUGAGACACGGUCCAGACUCCUACGGGAGGCAGCAGUAGGGAAUCUUCCGCAAUGGGCGAAAGCUUGACGGAGCAACGCCGCGUGAGUGAUGAAGGUCUUCGGAUCGUAAAACUCUGUUAUUAGGGAAGAACAAAUGUGUAAGUAACUAUGCAUGUCUUGACGGUACCUAAUCAGAAAGCCACGGCUAACUACGUG